This 379-nucleotide ribosomal RNA is filed under the name uncultured eukaryote. RNAcentral's name for it is "partial 18S ribosomal RNA". It matches the Rfam family "Eukaryotic small subunit ribosomal RNA", at positions 592 to 975 of the family's 1831-position model. The record is from RNAcentral.
CAAUAGCGUAUAUUUAAGUUGUUGCGGUUAAAAAGCUCGUAGUUGGAUUUCUGCUGAGGACGAUCGGUCCGCCCACUGGGUGAGUAUCUGGCUCGGCCUUGGCAUCUUCUUGGAGAACGUUGCUGCACUUGACUGUGUGGUGCGGUAUCCAGGACUUUUACUUUGAGGAAAUUAGAGUGUUUCAAGCAGGCGCACGCCUUGAAUACAUUAGCAUGGAAUAAUAAGAUAGGACCUUGGUUCUAUUUUGUUGGUUUCUAGAGCUGAGGUAAUGAUUAAUAGGGAUAGUUGGGGGCAUUCGUAUUUAACUGUCAGAGGUGAAAUUCUUGGAUUUGUUAAAGACGGACUACUGCGAANGNAUUUGCNAAGGAUGUUUNCAUUG